Molecule: ribosomal RNA, 1288 nt
Filed under: uncultured bacterium
Lineage: Bacteria
Description: bacterial SSU rRNA
Rfam family: Bacterial small subunit ribosomal RNA
Source: RNAcentral
UAGUGGCGGACGGGUGAGUAACGCGUGGGUAACCUGCCUUAUACAGGGGGAUAACAGUCAGAAAUGACUGCUAAUACCGCAUAAGCGCACAGGACCGCAUGGUCCGGUGUGAAAAACUCCGGUGGUAUAAGAUGGACCCGCGUUGGAUUAGCUUGUUGGUGAGGUAACGGCUCACCAAGGCGACGAUCCAUAGCCGGCCUGAGAGGGUGAACGGCCACAUUGGGACUGAGACACGGCCCAGACUCCUACGGGAGGCAGCAGUGGGGGAUAUUGCACAAUGGGGGAAACCCUGAUGCAGCGACGCCGCGUGGAGGAAGAAGGUUUUCGGAUUGUAAACUCCUGUCGUUAGGGACGAUAAUGACGGUACCUAACAAGAAAGCACCGGCUAACUACGUGCCAGCAGCCGCGGUAAAACGUAGGGUGCAAGCGUUGUCCGGAAUUACUGGGUGUAAAGGGAGCGCAGGCGGGAAGACAAGUUGGAAGUGAAAACCAUGGGCUCAACCCAUGAAUUGCUUUCAAAACUGUUUUUCUUGAGUAGUGCAGAGGUAGAUGGAAUUCCCGGUGUAGCGGUGGAAUGCGUAGAUAUCGGGAGGAACACCAGUGGCGAAGGCGGUCUACUGGGCACCAACUGACGCUGAGGCUCGAAAGCAUGGGUAGCAAACCAGGAUUAGAUACCCUGGUAGUCCAUGCCGUAAACGAUGAUUACUAGGUGUUGGGGGAUUGACCCCCUCAGUGCCGCAGUUAACACAAUAAGUAAUCCACCUGGGGAGUACGACCGCAAGGUUGAAACUCAAAGGAAUUGACGGGGGCCCGCACAAGCAGUGGAGUAUGUGGUUUAAUUCGAAGCAACGCGAAGAACCUUACCAGGUCUUGACAUCCGAUGCAUAACACAGAGAUGUGUGAAAUCCUUCGGGACAUCGAGACAGGUGGUGCAUGGUUGUCGUCAGCUCGUGUCGUGAGAUGUUGGGUUAAGUCCCGCAACGAGCGCAACCCUUAUCUUCAGUUACUAACGCGUAGAGGUGAGGACUCUGAAGAGACUGCCGGGGACAACUCGGAGGAAGGUGGGGACGACGUCAAAUCAUCAUGCCCCUUAUGACCUGGGCUACACACGUGCUACAAUGGCCACGACAGAGAGAAGCGAAAUCGCAAGGUAGAGCGGAACUCAAAAAAGUGGUCCCAGUUCGGAUUGUGGGCUGCAACCCGCCCACAUGAAGUCGGAGUUGCUAGUAAUCGCGGAUCAGCAUGCCGCGGUGAAUACGUUCCCGGGCCUUGUACACACCGCCCGUCA